AUGUCUUUCUUUACCCUCUGGCUCUUUCUUCUUUCUUUCACUCUCUUAGUCUUUUUCCCUUUGUCUUCCUCCCUAUCCCUUUUCUAUCCCUGUGUCACUCUCAUUCUUUCUCCUCCGUCUCAAUAUUCUUCUUCCUCUUUCUGUCUCCCAAUCUUUUUUCUAUUUCAUCUUUUCUCUUCCUUUUUCUCUCUCCCCGACUCUUUUUCUCUGUCUUUCUUAGCCAUUCCUCCCACUUUAUUUCUUGAUCUAUUCGGGGCUCUCCUUUUCUUUCUCUGUCUCAUUCUGAUUCAUUUUUCCUCUCUAUUUCUCUCAUUCCUACUCUCUACCUUUCACUAUUUCUCUUACUCUCUUUCUUUCUCUCUCUGUUUCAGUGUCUCCCAUUCUCUUUUCUCCCUGACACUCUCUCUCACAUUCUGUUUCUCUCUCCCACAUUUUCCUUUUUUCUCUUUCCCCUUUUUUGCACCGUCUCUCCCUCCAUCUCUCAUUCUCUUUCUCACACUCAUUCUCUCGCUCCAUCCCCCACUCUCUUUCUACAUCGCUCUAUACUUUUCUCUCCUUCUGUCUCUCUCUCUCACAUGUUUCUCUUUCAUUCUGUCUCACUUUUCUUCUUUUUCUAGCUCCGCUUUGUCUAUCUCUUUUUCUCUCCUCUUCUUUUUAUACCUCUCAUUUUUUUCAUUUCCUAUGUCUAUUUGUCUCCCUCUCUUUCUGUUUCCCAUUCUUUUUUACUCUCUCUCCCUCCUUCUCACUCUCUGUCUCUCUCAUUCUCUUUCACUAUUUCUUCCUUUCUCCCACUCUUUUUUACUCUCUCUCCCUCCUUCUCACUCUCUGUCUCUCUCAUUCUCCUUCACUGUUCCUUUCUCUUUUUUCUUUCUCUCCCUCUGUUUCCAUCUCCCAAUCUUUUUUGCUCUCUCUCCCAACUUCUUGCUCUAUAUUUCUCUCAUUUUCUUUCACUGUUUCUUUGUUUCUCUUCCUCUGUUUCUCUCUCUCUCGUUCUCACUCUCUGUCUCUCUCAUUCUCUUUCACGAUUUCUUCCUUUCUCCACUCUUUUUACUCUCUCUCCCACACUUCUCCCUCUCUGUCUCUCUCAUUCUCUUCACUGUUCCUUUCUCUUUUUCUCUCUCUCUUGUUUCUAUCUCCCACUCUUUUUUGCUCUCUCUCUCUCUCCCUCCUUCUCACUCUCUGUCUCUCUCAUUCUCUUUCACUUUUUCUUCCUUUCUCUCCCUCUGUUUCUGUCUCUCACUCUUUCUUGCUUUCUCUCCCUCUUUCUCACUCUCUGUGUCAUUCUCUUUCAGUGUUUCUUUCUUUCUCUCCCUCUGUUUCUGUCUCCCACUCUUUUUUCCUCUGUCUCCACCUUCUUACAUUUGGUCUCUUUCAUUCUCUUUCAUUAUUUCUUUCUUUCUCUCCCUCUCUUUCUCUCUCUCUCCGACUCUUUUUUACUCUCUCUCCCUCCUUCUCACCCUCUGUCUCUCUCAUUCUCUUUCACUCUUUCUUUGUCUCCCUGCUUCUCUCUCCCACUCUUCUUGCUCUCUCUCCCUCCUUCUCACUCUCUCUCUCUCUCUCUCAUUCUCUUUCACUGUUUCUUUCUUUCUCUCCCUCUAUUUCUCUCUCUCCCUCCUUCUCACUCUCUGUGUCUCUCAUUCUCUUUUAGUAUUUCUUCCUUUCUCUCUCUCUGUUUCUGUCUGUCUCCCACUCUUUUUUGCUCUCUCUCCCACCUUCUCCCUCUCUGUCUCUCUCAUUGUCCUUCACUGUUCCUUUCUCUUUUUUCUUUCUCUCCCUGUUUCUGUCUCUAUUCCACUCUUUUUGGCUCUCUCUCCCUCCUUCUCGCUCUCUGUCUCUCUCAUUCUAUUUCACUGUUCUCUCUCUUUUUUCUUUCUCUCCCUCUGUUUCUAUCUCCCACUCUUUUUUUUGCUCUCUCUCCCUCCUCACUCUGUCUCUCUUCUUUCAUCGUUUCUUUCUCUUUCUCUCCCUCUGUUUCUGUCUCCCACUCUUUUUUACUUUCUGUCCCUCCUCAGUCUCUUUCUCUCUCAUUCUCUUUAACUGUUUCUUUCUUUCUCUCCCUCUGUUCCUCUUUGUCACCCACUCUCUUUUGCUCUCUCCCUCCUUCUCACUCUCUGUUUCUCUCCUUCUCUUUCACUGUUUCCUUCUUUCUCUCCCACUGUUUCUCCAUCUCUCCCUCCUUGUCACUAUCUCUCUCAUUCUCUUUUACUGUUUCUUUCUUACUUUCCCUGUUUUUGACUGUCUCCCACUCUUUUUUGCUCUCUCUC
RNAcentral lists this long non-coding RNA (2264 nucleotides) under Phascolarctos cinereus (koala). RNAcentral describes it as "lncRNA (ENSPCIG00000034014.1)". Lineage: Eukaryota; Metazoa; Chordata; Mammalia; Diprotodontia; Phascolarctidae. The record is from RNAcentral.